RNAcentral lists this long non-coding RNA (1901 nucleotides) under Oryzias sinensis (Chinese medaka). RNAcentral describes it as "lncRNA (ENSOSIG00000001656.1)". The record is from RNAcentral. Lineage: Eukaryota; Metazoa; Chordata; Actinopteri; Beloniformes; Adrianichthyidae.
AUGCCCCCAAUGGCACCAAUCCCAACUCCCAUUCCAGCCCCUCUACCGCCUCUCCCUUUACCCCCUCUUCCUUUGGGAGUGUCCCCCCCUCUCGUCUCAACUGCACCCCCACCUCUUCCACAGCCCAUUGCGAAUGGCGCUCCCCCCACAGCCCUGAUGCCACCACUCUCAGGCUUUUCCCUCCCAGCUCCAACCUCAUUUAACCGCUCCAGCUCCAAGCUGCAGAAAGGUUCGUCGCUGGACACUGCUAGGUAGGUAAUGAAGAAGAAGAAGAAGAAGUAUACCAUUUCUGCCCGAAUCUUACCCUUACUGGUUUUCUGACGCGUCAGCGGCGUCUUGUUUCAAUGUCAAGUCAAUGUGCAGAGGUUCUGCAGCGCUUUGGGCGUCAGGCGUGGCACAUCGGCCUGGCAGCAGCACAUUUUGGGUGUUGCGACAGAAAUGCAGCUUUACGGUGUCAGACAGUAAAUAAAAGGCGUAUUCAUUGUUGUCCCAAAUAAACCUUUUCUGAUCCUUAAGACCAAGAAUUGACAGAAAGCACAGAAACGGUAAAACUAAAGGCCUUGACAAACUUUUAUGAAGCACAGUGAGGAUCAAAAGUUUGGGCCCCCAGGUAAAAAUGUUUAUUAUUGUCCUUAAAGGAGCCAAGGAAAGAUGGAAAGAUCUUCAAAAGGCAUGAGAUUACAGAUGAGACAUUCUUGUAAAUUAGAUUUUAUUUCCAUCAUUUUUCCCUUUCAAAAUAACAGAAAACAAAAUAAGGGUGUGUGCAAAAGUUUGGGUACACUGCAGAAUUAGUACCUUGUACUGCUGCCCCUGGGAAGUAUAGGAAGAAGAAAUGUGAAGACUUCUUUUGUAGCCAGUCGAGACUCUCUCAGGUCUUGAAUCUUUGAGUCUGUUUUCUGUCAUGAAUGAGUGUCCAUGUGAAAUGACUUUCAGUUGCUAAAGAUGACUUUCAGGCAGCAGACUGGAGGAGAGUGAGAAGAACAGAGACUUUUAGUUGAUUCAUUUAGCCAAAUCUCAGGCAUCAUUUCCCUCACAGAAACAGGUUUACAUCAAAACGUAGGUCUUUUUCCUGGCUUUCAGACAACCCAACUCUGAAAAUCCUUACAGCGGCCCCAAAUAUCAGCAACGGAUUACGAGUUCUCUCAUUGACCCCAAUGCGUUUUUGGUGGAUAAAAAAAGUUUGUUUUUAUCUUGUGAUUACUGCUGAGCAUAUAACCUUUACUCUGAGGAAAAUGGCUAAAAGAUGCAACCUUUAGUUGAAGCAAAGUGCAAAUCUACAUUUUUAAGGGGAGCAAGGAUGUGUCUCCGUCUGCCUGCUCGUUUCCAUGACAGCUUUGGAACCCUCCAUCUGCACACGCAUCUUCUGGCUUCUGAAACUGUAAAAGACACUAUGAGCUUUUCUUUCCACUGUUUGCUGUAAAUUCAUUACAAAUCCACCUAAUUACACACGUCUGACCUGAAUUCAGUUUGUAUGAGUUGAUUCAAAUAAAUUAGCAAUAAGCCUUUGUAUUAGCAUUAUUCUAGCAAAUUGUGCUUAACUUACUUCUUUAACCGUUUGUUUUAGUUUAUUUGACAUUUAGCUGUUAUAUUAGCAUUGUGCUAGCUCAUUUGGCCAGUAGUGUGGCAGUUGCUCUAGGCAACUACUGGCAUAUACUGAGGUUUUCUAGUCUAAUUUGGAGUGUUGCUAAUAUCUGAGCAAGCUAUCAGCUUUAGCCUUUUAAGCUAACAGAUCCAGCAGGUAUCCAACUGGUAUCUGAAAAGGCUUUUCUAUCUUCCUCUAGCCUUCUCCUGCUUUGUGAACUUCAUAUCAUUUUGGUUUCAGUGUUCUAGACAACUGCUUGGAAGGACCCAUUGGGGCAAAGGUCAGAUGACUCAGAUUAUUUCAAAUCUUUGAGAUUGAA